UAGGGAAUAUUGGUCAAUGGGCGAAAGCCUGACCCAGCAACGCCGCGUGAAGGAUGAAGUAUUUCGGUAUGUAAACUUCGAAAGAAUAGGAAGAAUAAAUGACGGUACUAUUUAUAAGGUCCGGCUAACUACGUGCCAGCAGCCGCGGUAAUACGUAGGGACCAAGCGUUGUUCGGAUUUACUGGGCGUAAAGGGCGCGUAGGCGGCAUGACAAGUCACUUGUGAAAUCUCUGGGCUUAACCCAGAACGGCCAAGUGAUACUGUCGCGCUAGAGUGCAGAAGGGGCAAUCGGAAUUCUUGGUGUAGCGGUGAAAUGCGUAGAUAUCAAGAGGAACACCUGAGGUGAAGACGGGUUGCUGGGCUGACACUGACGCUGAGGCGCGAAAGCCAGGGGGAGCAAACGGGAUUAGAUACCCAUGUAGUCCCUGAGCGGGCUGGCAAGGCGCAU
This 448-nucleotide ribosomal RNA is filed under the name uncultured bacterium. RNAcentral describes it as "bacterial SSU rRNA". It matches the Rfam family "Bacterial small subunit ribosomal RNA", at positions 355 to 825 of the family's 1533-position model. The record is from RNAcentral.